UACGGGGGGGGCAAGCGUUGUUCGGAAUUACUGGGCGUAAAGGGUUCGUAGGUGGCCAACUAAGUCAGACGUGAAAUCCCUCAGCUUAACUGGGGAACUGCGUCUGAGACUGGAUGGCUUGAGUGCAGGAGAGGAACGCGGAAUUCCAGGUGUAGCGGUGAAAUGCGUAGAUAUCUGGAGGAACACCGGUGGCGAAGGCGGCGUUCUGGACUGCUACUGACACUGAGGAACGAAAGCGUGGGGAGCAAACAGG
RNAcentral lists this ribosomal RNA (253 nucleotides) under uncultured bacterium. RNAcentral describes it as "partial 16S ribosomal RNA". It matches the Rfam family "Bacterial small subunit ribosomal RNA", at positions 524 to 776 of the family's 1533-position model. The record is from RNAcentral.